UACAGAGGGGGCAAGCGUUGUUCGGAAUUACUGGGCGUAAAGGGCGCGUAGGCGGCCUGCUAAGUCGAACGUGAAAUCCCCGGGCUCAACCCGGGAACUGCGUCCGAUACUGGUAGGCUUGAAUCCGGGAGAGGGAUGCGGAAUUCCAGGUGUAGCGGUGAAAUGCGUAGAUAUCAGGAGGAACACCGGUGGCGAAGGCGGUUCUCUGGGCAACAACUGACGCUGAGGAGCGAAAGCGUGGGGAGCGAACAGG
This 253-nucleotide ribosomal RNA is filed under the name uncultured bacterium. Its description in RNAcentral is "partial 16S ribosomal RNA". It matches the Rfam family "Bacterial small subunit ribosomal RNA", at positions 524 to 776 of the family's 1533-position model. The record is from RNAcentral.